Molecule: ribosomal RNA, 2929 nt
Filed under: Escherichia coli
Lineage: Bacteria; Pseudomonadati; Pseudomonadota; Gammaproteobacteria; Enterobacterales; Enterobacteriaceae
Description: 23S ribosomal RNA
Rfam family: Bacterial large subunit ribosomal RNA
Source: RNAcentral
GGGUUGUGAGGUUAAGCGACUAAGCGUACACGGUGGAUGCCCUGGCAGUCAGAGGCGAUGAAGGACGUGCUAAUCUGCGAUAAGCGUCGGUAAGGUGAUAUGAACCGUUAUAACCGGCGAUUUCCGAAUGGGGAAACCCAGUGUGUUUCGACACACUAUCAUUAACUGAAUCCAUAGGUUAAUGAGGCGAACCGGGGGAACUGAAACAUCUAAGUACCCCGAGGAAAAGAAAUCAACCGAGAUUCCCCCAGUAGCGGCGAGCGAACGGGGAGCAGCCCAGAGCCUGAAUCAGUGUGUGUGUUAGUGGAAGCGUCUGGAAAGGCGCGCGAUACAGGGUGACAGCCCCGUACACAAAAAUGCACAUAUUGUGAGCUCGAUGAGUAGGGCGGGACACGUGGUAUCCUGUCUGAAUAUGGGGGGACCAUCCUCCAAGGCUAAAUACUCCUGACUGACCGAUAGUGAACCAGUACCGUGAGGGAAAGGCGAAAAGAACCCCGGCGAGGGGAGUGAAAAAGAACCUGAAACCGUGUACGUACAAGCAGUGGGAGCACGCUUCGGCGUGUGACUGCGUACCUUUUGUAUAAUGGGUCAGCGACUUAUAUUCUGUAGCAAGGUUAACCGAAUAGGGGAGCCGAAGGGAAACCGAGUCUUAACUGGGCGUUAAGUUGCAGGGUAUAGACCCGAAACCCGGUGAUCUAGCCAUGGGCAGGUUGAAGGUUGGGUAACACUAACUGGAGGACCGAACCGACUAAUGUUGAAAAAUUAGCGGAUGACUUGUGGCUGGGGGUGAAAGGCCAAUCAAACCGGGAGAUAGCUGGUUCUCCCCGAAAGCUAUUUAGGUAGCGCCUCGUGAAUUCAUCUCCGGGGGUAGAGCACUGUUUCGGCAAGGGGGUCAUCCCGACUUACCAACCCGAUGCAAACUGCGAAUACCGGAGAAUGUUAUCACGGGAGACACACGGCGGGUGCUAACGUCCGUCGUGAAGAGGGAAACAACCCAGACCGCCAGCUAAGGUCCCAAAGUCAUGGUUAAGUGGGAAACGAUGUGGGAAGGCCCAGACAGCCAGGAUGUUGGCUUAGAAGCAGCCAUCAUUUAAAGAAAGCGUAAUAGCUCACUGGUCGAGUCGGCCUGCGCGGAAGAUGUAACGGGGCUAAACCAUGCACCGAAGCUGCGGCAGCGACACUAUGUGUUGUUGGGUAGGGGAGCGUUCUGUAAGCCUGUGAAGGUGUACUGUGAGGUAUGCUGGAGGUAUCAGAAGUGCGAAUGCUGACAUAAGUAACGAUAAAGCGGGUGAAAAGCCCGCUCGCCGGAAGACCAAGGGUUCCUGUCCAACGUUAAUCGGGGCAGGGUGAGUCGACCCCUAAGGCGAGGCCGAAAGGCGUAGUCGAUGGGAAACAGGUUAAUAUUCCUGUACUUGGUGUUACUGCGAAGGGGGGACGGAGAAGGCUAUGUUGGCCGGGCGACGGUUGUCCCGGUUUAAGCGUGUAGGCUGGUUUUCCAGGCAAAUCCGGAAAAUCAAGGCUGAGGCGUGAUGACGAGGCACUACGGUGCUGAAGCAACAAAUGCCCUGCUUCCAGGAAAAGCCUCUAAGCAUCAGGUAACAUCAAAUCGUACCCCAAACCGACACAGGUGGUCAGGUAGAGAAUACCAAGGCGCUUGAGAGAACUCGGGUGAAGGAACUAGGCAAAAUGGUGCCGUAACUUCGGGAGAAGGCACGCUGAUAUGUAGGUGAAGUCCCUCGCGGAUGGAGCUGAAAUCAGUCGAAGAUACCAGCUGGCUGCAACUGUUUAUUAAAAACACAGCACUGUGCAAACACGAAAGUGGACGUAUACGGUGUGACGCCUGCCCGGUGCCGGAAGGUUAAUUGAUGGGGUCAGCGCAAGCGAAGCUCUUGAUCGAAGCCCCGGUAAACGGCGGCCGUAACUAUAACGGUCCUAAGGUAGCGAAAUUCCUUGUCGGGUAAGUUCCGACCUGCACGAAUGGCGUAAUGAUGGCCAGGCUGUCUCCACCCGAGACUCAGUGAAAUUGAACUCGCUGUGAAGAUGCAGUGUACCCGCGGCAAGACGGAAAGACCCCGUGAACCUUUACUAUAGCUUGACACUGAACAUUGAGCCUUGAUGUGUAGGAUAGGUGGGAGGCUUAGAAGUGUGGACGCCAGUCUGCAUGGAGCCGACCUUGAAAUACCACCCUUUAAUGUUUGAUGUUCUAACGUUGACCCGUGAUCCGGGUUGCGGACAGUGUCUGGUGGGUAGUUUGACUGGGGCGGUCUCCUCCUAAAGAGUAACGGAGGAGCACGAAGGUUGGCUAAUCCUGGUCGGACAUCAGGAGGUUAGUGCAAUGGCAUAAGCCAGCUUGACUGCGAGCGUGACGGCGCGAGCAGGUGCGAAAGCAGGUCAUAGUGAUCCGGUGGUUCUGAAUGGAAGGGCCAUCGCUCAACGGAUAAAAGGUACUCCGGGGAUAACAGGCUGAUACCGCCCAAGAGUUCAUAUCGACGGCGGUGUUUGGCACCUCGAUGUCGGCUCAUCACAUCCUGGGGCUGAAGUAGGUCCCAAGGGUAUGGCUGUUCGCCAUUUAAAGUGGUACGCGAGCUGGGUUUAGAACGUCGUGAGACAGUUCGGUCCCUAUCUGCCGUGGGCGCUGGAGAACUGAGGGGGGCUGCUCCUAGUACGAGAGGACCGGAGUGGACGCAUCACUGGUGUUCGGGUUGUCAUGCCAAUGGCACUGCCCGGUAGCUAAAUGCGGAAGAGAUAAGUGCUGAAAGCAUCUAAGCACGAAACUUGCCCCGAGAUGAGUUCUCCCUGACUCCUUGAGAGUCCUGAAGGAACGUUGAAGACGACGACGUUGAUAGGCCGGGUGUGUAAGCGCAGCGAUGCGUUGAGCUAACCGGUACUAAUGAACCGUGAGGCUUAACCUUACAACGCCGAAGCUGUU